CAGAGACUGCAAGCGUUAUUCGGAUUCACUGGGCGUAAAGGGUGCGCAGGCGGCCAAGUGUGUGAGGCGUGAAAGCCUGGAGCUUAACUCCAGAAUUGCACCUCAAACUACUUGGCUAGAGCAUUGGAGAGGGUAGCAGAAUUCAUGGUGUAGCAGUGAAAUGCGUAGAUAUCAUGAGGAAUACCAGAGGCGAAGGCGGCUACCUGGACAAUUGCUGACGCUCAGGCACGAAAGCGUGGGGAGCAAAAGGGAUUAGAUACCCCUGUAGUCCACGCCCUAAACGGUGCACACUAGGUCUUGGCGGAUUCGACCCCCCCAGGGCCCAAGCUAACGCGUUAAGUGUGCCGCCUGAGGACUACGGCCGCAAGGCUA
Molecule: ribosomal RNA, 372 nt
Filed under: uncultured organism
Description: bacterial SSU rRNA
Rfam family: Bacterial small subunit ribosomal RNA
Source: RNAcentral